AGAGUUUGAUCAUGGCUCAGAACGAACGCUGGCGGCAGGCUUAACACAUGCAAGUCGAACGCCCCGCAAGGGGAGUGGCAGACGGGUGAGUAACACGUGGGAACAUGCCCAAAGGUACGGAACAACUCCGGGAAACUGGAGCUAAUACCGUAUGUGUCCGUAAGGAGAAAGAUUUAUCGCCUUUGGAUUGGCCCGCGUCGGAUUAGCUAGUUGGUGGGGUAAAAGCCUACCAAGGCGACGAUCCGUAGCUGGUUUGAGAGAACGACCAGCCACACUGGGACUGAGACACGGCCCAGACUCCUACGGGAGGCAGCAGUGGGGAAUCUUGGACAAUGGGCGCAAGCCUGAUCCAGCCAUGCCGCGUGGAUGAUGAAGGCCUUAGGGUUGUAAAAUCCUUUCGCCGAGGACGAUAAUGACGGUACUCGGAGAAGAAGCUCCGGCUAACUUCGUGCCAGCAGCCGCGGUA
Molecule: ribosomal RNA, 466 nt
Filed under: uncultured Pseudomonadota bacterium
Lineage: Bacteria; Pseudomonadati; Pseudomonadota
Description: bacterial SSU rRNA
Rfam family: Bacterial small subunit ribosomal RNA
Source: RNAcentral